This 70-nucleotide transfer RNA is filed under the name Marmota monax (woodchuck). RNAcentral describes it as "tRNA.Ala". The record is from RNAcentral. Lineage: Eukaryota; Metazoa; Chordata; Mammalia; Rodentia; Sciuridae.
GGGCUGGGGCUCAGUGGUAGAGUGCUCACCUAGCAUGCUUGAGGCACUGAGUUCGAGCUUCAGCACCACA